AUUGAACGCUGGCGGCAGGCUUAACACAUGCAAGUCGAACGAGUGGCGGACGGGUGAGUAAUGCUUGGGAAUCUGGCUAAUGGCGGGGGAUAACUACUGGAAACUGUGGCUAAUACCGCAUACCAUAGGAUGAGCCCAUGUGGGAUUAGCUAGUUGGUGGGGUAAAGGCUCACCAAGGCGACGAUCCCUAGCUGGUCUGAGAGGAUGACCAGCCACACUGGGACUGAGACACGGCCCAGACUCCUACGGGAGGCAGCAGUGGGGAAUAUUGCGCAAUGGGGGCAACCUGACGCAGCCAUGCCGCGUGAAUGAAGAAGGCCUUCGGGUUGUAAAGUUCUUUCGGUAGCGAAGCGUUAUCUACAUAAGAAGCACCGGCUAACUCCGUGCCAGCCGCCGCGGUAAUAC
This 405-nucleotide ribosomal RNA is filed under the name uncultured bacterium. RNAcentral's name for it is "partial 16S ribosomal RNA". It matches the Rfam family "Bacterial small subunit ribosomal RNA", at positions 30 to 526 of the family's 1533-position model. The record is from RNAcentral.